GUAAAAACGGAGGUUGCAGGGGGUUGGAGAGCGAGAAUAAUGCGUGGAGUGCGACAAACGGGCGGCUGGAGGCUGAAGAAGCAGAGCGAAAGAGAGGGUCACGCCGUCCGUGAGAGGAAACGAAGAAAAAAGCUCGAGGUUCACCAGUAACGUUGAUUCGAUCGUGGGCGAAGCUGGCUGGAGAUCGAGUCAAAUUAUCUGGAAGAAGAAUGCAAUGGCGAUGAUCGAGCUCCGACGAUGAUUGCGCAAAGAAUAAUUUUUGCGUCAUCAAAGGCGUUACAAAAUUAGUAAUUAACUUGUUUCUCGUUAUAGCCGCUAUAUAUCGUAUAAGCCGUUGAGAAGCUUAAUUGAUCUGCUCUGAAAAGUUCAAAAAACUGAU
Molecule: unclassified non-coding RNA, 379 nt
Filed under: Bombus terrestris (buff-tailed bumblebee)
Lineage: Eukaryota; Metazoa; Arthropoda; Insecta; Hymenoptera; Apidae
Description: misc RNA ENSBTSG00005038494.1
Source: RNAcentral